CAAAAACAUAGCUAAAUGUCAUUAUAUUUGGUGUUUUCUGCUCAAUGAUAUAAUUAAAUAGCCGCAGUACCUUGACUGUGCAAAGGUAGCAUAAUCAAUUGGCUUAUAAUUGAAGUCUGGAAUGAAAGGAUAUACGGGUAAUUACUGUAUCUGAUAUUUAUACUGAAAUUGAUCUCCAAGUGCAAAUACUUGCAAUUAAUUGUUAGACGAGAAGACCCUAGAAAUUUGUGUAAAUGUUUAGUUGGGGCAACGUGGUAAGAAAUAACUUACAAUAAGGACAUGAAAAAUGAUUUGAAAGAAAAAAUUACUCUAGGGAUAACAGCAUAAUUUAUUAAAGUUUGUGACCUCGAUGUUGGAUUUGGGAAUUAUAGUCCAGAAGACUUUUAAUUUUGCUCUGUUCGAGCGUAGCAC
This 411-nucleotide ribosomal RNA is filed under the name Rhagada minima. Its description in RNAcentral is "partial 16S ribosomal RNA". It matches the Rfam family "Bacterial large subunit ribosomal RNA", at positions 1808 to 2593 of the family's 2925-position model. Lineage: Eukaryota; Metazoa; Mollusca; Gastropoda; Stylommatophora; Camaenidae. The record is from RNAcentral.